GCCUAGCAUCAGACACAGGUCCUGAGCUCUGAGGCCUGCAACCUCAGUGUGCACUUGAACUAUGAGGCUGGUGACAGCAAUUACUGUACUCCUAACUUUAGGUAUUAUGGGUGACGCUAAGACCACCCAGCCAAAUUCAGUGGAGUGUACUGAAGAAGAACCUGUGUACUUGCCUUGUAACCACUCCACAAUCAGUGGAAGUGAGUACGUAUACUGGUAUCGACAGAUUCUCCUCCAGGGUCCAGAGUAUGUGAUUCAUGGUCUAAAAGGCAAUGUGACCAAUAGCAUGGCCACUCUGGCCAUCUCUGCUGACAGGAAGUCCAGUACCUUGAUCCUGCCCCGAGUCACCCUGGGAGACACUGCCGUGUACCACUGCAUCGUGAGAGCCCACAGUGGGACAGAUGGGGCUGCACCUGUGCAGUAUCUCCCGGAGGGGAAGGGAGCAGCAGCAGCCUUCUAAAGAGGCCGCUGCACAAGGACGAGCAGAAGCUCAACAGAGGAAAGAGAAAAUAAAGGAGAAAGGGGCAAAGAAGUAAAGAGAAAAUGGUGAGGAAAUCAAGGAGGAGCAGACUAAAGGAAUGAAGACAUUGAGGAAGAAGAGCUGAAUAAGUCCUAAAGAGGUCCUAGAGAAAGCACUGAGAAGCUUGCCAGGAGACCAAAAUUCACAAUUGCAAUUCUUCAAUGAAGAAGACGGAAAAUGAGAAUA
Microcebus murinus (gray mouse lemur) is the source of this 706-nucleotide non-coding RNA. The record is from the annotation of a RefSeq genome assembly. Lineage: Eukaryota; Metazoa; Chordata; Mammalia; Primates; Cheirogaleidae.